UAUCACAUGUCAGCAGGAUGUCCUAAGU
Molecule: non-coding RNA, 28 nt
Filed under: Mus musculus (house mouse)
Lineage: Eukaryota; Metazoa; Chordata; Mammalia; Rodentia; Muridae
Source: RNAcentral